This 26-nucleotide non-coding RNA is filed under the name Mus musculus (house mouse). Lineage: Eukaryota; Metazoa; Chordata; Mammalia; Rodentia; Muridae. The record is from RNAcentral.
UAGUUCCUCAAGACAGAGUGGGUCUC